RNAcentral lists this ribosomal RNA (508 nucleotides) under uncultured bacterium. RNAcentral's name for it is "bacterial SSU rRNA". It matches the Rfam family "Bacterial small subunit ribosomal RNA", at positions 21 to 518 of the family's 1533-position model. The record is from RNAcentral.
GGCUCAGAACGAACGCUGGCGGCGCGUUUAAGUCAUGCAAGUCGAGCGGCAAGGGCCUUCGGGCCCCUAGAGCGGCGGACGGGUGAGUAACACGUGGACAAUCUGCCCCCCGGCCCGGGAUAGCCCAGGGAAACCUGGAUUAAUACCGGAUGAGACGGGACCCGCGAUGGCGGGACCCGGGAAAGGCGCUGCGGCGCCGCCGGGGGAUGAGUCUGCGUCCCAUUAGCUAGACGGCGGGGUAACGGCCCACCGUGGCGACGAUGGGUAGCCGGCCUGAGAGGGUGGACGGCCACAUUGGAACUGAGACACGGUCCAGACUCCUACGGGAGGCAGCAGCUAAGAAUCUUCCGCAAUGGGCGAAAGCCUGACGGAGCCGACGCCGCGUGAACGAAGAAGGCCGUGAGGUUGUAAAGUUCUUUUCGGGAGGGGGAACAACCGUGGCAGGGAAUGGCCGCGGGAUGACGUGAAUCCCGGAAUAAGCCCCGGCUAACUACGUGCCAGCCGCCGC